Molecule: small RNA, 106 nt
Filed under: Marmota monax (woodchuck)
Lineage: Eukaryota; Metazoa; Chordata; Mammalia; Rodentia; Sciuridae
Source: RNAcentral
GCCAGGUGUGGCAGCGCACCCCUGUAAUCCCAGCCACGCCAGAGGCUGAGGCAGGAGGAUGGCAAAUUUGAGGCCAGAUUGGGCAAUUAGUGAGACUCUGUCUCAA